RNAcentral lists this ribosomal RNA (460 nucleotides) under uncultured bacterium. Its description in RNAcentral is "partial 16S ribosomal RNA". It matches the Rfam family "Bacterial small subunit ribosomal RNA", at positions 338 to 795 of the family's 1533-position model. The record is from RNAcentral.
CCUACGGGAGGCAGCAGUGAGGAAUAUUGGUCAAUGGACGAGAGUCUGAACCAGCCAAGUAGCGUGAAGGAUGACUGCCCUAUGGGUUGUAAACUUCUUUUAUAUGGGAAUAAAAUGUUCCACGUGUGGGAUUUUGUAUGUACCAUAUGAAUAAGGAUCGGCUAACUCCGUGCCAGCAGCCGCGGUAAUACGGAGGAUCCGAGCGUUAUCCGGAUUUAUUGGGUUUAAAGGGAGCGUAGGUGGAUUGGUAAGUCAGUUGUGAAAGUUUGCGGCUCAACCGUAAAAUUGCAGUUGAAACUGGCAGUCUUGAGUACAGUAGAGGUGGGCGGAAUGCGUGGUGUAGCGGUGAAAUGCUUAGAUAUCACGAAGAACUCCGAUUGCGAAGGCAGUUCACUGGACUGCAACUGACACUGAGGCUCGAAAGUGUGGGUAUCAAACAGGAUUAGAUACCCCUGUAGUC